RNAcentral lists this ribosomal RNA (253 nucleotides) under uncultured bacterium. RNAcentral describes it as "partial 16S ribosomal RNA". It matches the Rfam family "Bacterial small subunit ribosomal RNA", at positions 524 to 776 of the family's 1533-position model. The record is from RNAcentral.
UACAGAGACUGCAAGCGUUAUUCGGAUUCACUGGGCGUAAAGGGUGCGCAGGCGGCCGGGUGUGUCAGAUGUGAAAUCCCGAGGCUCAACCUCGGAACUGCGUCUGAAACUACUUGGCUAGAGUACUGGAGAGGGUAACGGAAUUCACGGUGUAGCAGUGAAAUGCGUAGAUAUCGUGAGGAACACCAGAGGCGAAGGCGGUUACCUGGACAGUUACUGACGCUCAGGCACGAAAGCAUGGGGAGCAAAAGGG